Molecule: microRNA precursor, 78 nt
Filed under: Trichobilharzia regenti
Lineage: Eukaryota; Metazoa; Platyhelminthes; Trematoda; Strigeidida; Schistosomatidae
Description: mir-3492 microRNA precursor family
Rfam family: mir-3492 microRNA precursor family
Source: Rfam by way of RNAcentral
ACUCUUUUGUAUCCGUGGUGAAAUUUCGUCAACAAUCAGUCUAUUAGGAUUGAUGGAAUUUCUCAAAUAAGUGAAGUG